GUUCACUGCACACUGACAGGCCCAAAUCUGCAUGAGAAUGUCGCCUUGGCAGCUUGCUGCAGCCCGUCACUGCRGCACAGCCGUAGCAUCAGUUCGGCUCUGCAACCAGGGUAUUGUUUGGUGUUGGAAAAUCCCUCCCUCCCGCUGAGAAGUGGCUCCAUGGCAGCCCGUGAAUAUUACUCCACCAGCCAAGCUCAGUCUGCAAAUGACGUYGUGAGUCACUGCACUCCCCGCAAGUCUGCAGUCCCCAGAAUGUGCAUCUGUCUGCCCGUGGCAACUGCUUGGGGCUGGUGUGAUGCUUGGCAAGUUCAGCUGACUCCGAGUGGCCUCGUACCUGAAUUAUCUCCUGUCAAGCAUCAAGUCAAGUAUGAGUGAAACUGCAAAUGGGAGUCUAUUAAAGUUUCACGUUUCUCCACUGGAAUGCCAUAGAUUAGAGAAGUUUUCAGAAGACACUGAUUGCUGAAUAUGGAGCUCUGUAAUGCAUUAUCUUUUCCUCUGUGAUAAUAAAACUUUGUCUUUAGUCAAGCAAAUGUUCAUUUCUUGCAAUGAAGUCGGAAGCAUUGCAACUGCAGCCUGUUGAACUAUUGGCAGAGUUGAGUGUGAAGAAAGAGACAGAUAACUUUCACAGAUUGACCGUUUGCAAGAUAAAACUGCAGUAUUUUAUAGACUUGUCAUGUGACAGAUUUAAUAUGAAUAAAAGCGAGAGUAUUAUUUCACUAUUUUAUUACAGUUCUCGGGUUAAUUACACUCUAAGAUUCUGAUUUGUGGCUCAGAUAUAUCCCUUUAUUUUGGCCUACAAAUGAGGGCUGUGUUUCUGUGAGGUUACCUUCUUUUUUAAGCGGGAAAGCAUAUGGACCAUAUACAGGCUAGAUGAACUGCAAGAAAGGCCUUUAUGAGUUGUGACAUCCCAUAACAUCAUUUAUGUUUUGUGUGUUUUUUAACAGAGACAUCUAGGAUUUGAGAUGCUAUGAAGAUGCCUUCACUUUCUAAGACCUGCCAAGUUUGGAUUAAAUGCUGCUUACAUCUUCAGUGGCACCCUGCUUUUUCAUUGUUCUCUUUGUUUACCUUACCAUUAUAUUUGCUUGUUUUGCUGAAGAACUACUCUGCAUUGCUGUUGAAUAUUGUAGCUCUUCCUUAUUUUAUUGCUAACCCCAGCACUACACAUAAAAAGCUACUGCACAAUGAAUAAUUAAUCUGACAAAUUUAGCCUUUUCAGAUACAAUUCCUUUAAUGUCUUUGUUACACAAAGGUAUUCUUGGAAUCUGACUGAUUUUUACACUGUAUUAACCAUGCAGUUAUAUGACUAUUUGCUAUUUAUAGUCAGAAUGUGUUGGUUACUUGUGAGAGCCUAGCUAAGUUACAUGUUAUUGUUUCUGUUCUGCAUUUGGCUGCGUGCAGAAAAACUGGCAGCCAAGUGCUUGUGUGUGCGUGUGCAGAGCCAAAUUUCUGGGUUGGCAUAGUUCCACAGUUGCACCACCAGAGAAUUAGGCCCUUCGAAUUCAGUUUCUCUGAUUCCUUGUACAGAGUUUAACAUUUACUUUCCAUUAACGUUUAUGCCAGAUCAGCAUGAGUGGAAAGAGAGAUAAGCAGAGCCAAACACAUUUGUCUAAAAACUUGGUUAAGUAGUCAUGGACAAUUGCUUGAAAUAAUAAGCCAUCUUAUCAUUUGUCAUCAGUGAUCAUUAGCAUUAAUAUUAGAAUUGUUACUCUUUCUUGUGUCCAGGAUUUAUUAUGUAGUGAGGCCUCUUAACUUUUAUUGAAACGCUAACRUGUAAAGUGGUUUUUAAAAUCAGUGCUUUUCCCUUUAAAGCUGGCAUUCUCUUAUAGAUAAUGACUGACUGUGGAUAUGUACUUGAGUUCAACAAUAACUAUUAAAGCUUUCAGAGAGCUCCAGAAUUGUAACUGAUUUUCUUUUAAUAAUGACGCACACC
Dromaius novaehollandiae (emu) is the source of this 1930-nucleotide long non-coding RNA. The record is from Ensembl. NCBI's taxonomy places the organism in Eukaryota, Metazoa, Chordata, Aves, Casuariiformes, Dromaiidae.